UCAAAGGAUAAUGUUUUUUAA
Molecule: non-coding RNA, 21 nt
Filed under: Caenorhabditis elegans
Lineage: Eukaryota; Metazoa; Nematoda; Chromadorea; Rhabditida; Rhabditidae
Source: RNAcentral